UACAGGGGGUGCAAACGUUGCUCGGAAUCAUUGGGCGUAAAGCGCACGUAGGCGGUUCGUUAUGUCGGAUGUGAAAGCCCUUGGCUUAACCGAGGAAGUGCAUCCGAAACUGGCGAGCUAGAGUACGAAAGAGGAUCGCGGAAUUCCCGGUGUAGAGGUGAAAUUCGUAGAUAUCGGGAGGAACACCGGUGGCGAAGGCGGCGAUCUGGACGGAUACUGACGCUGAGACGCGAAAGCGUGGGGAGCAAACAGG
Molecule: ribosomal RNA, 253 nt
Filed under: uncultured bacterium
Lineage: Bacteria
Description: partial 16S ribosomal RNA
Rfam family: Bacterial small subunit ribosomal RNA
Source: RNAcentral